GUUGUUGUGGCGGUGAGUGUUAAGGGAUGGACUAGAAAUCCAUUGGGGUUUCCCCGCGCAGGUUCGAAUCCUGCCAACAACG
Non-coding RNA from Seriola dumerili (greater amberjack), 82 nucleotides. The record is from the annotation of a RefSeq genome assembly. Lineage: Eukaryota; Metazoa; Chordata; Actinopteri; Carangiformes; Carangidae.